RNAcentral lists this ribosomal RNA (323 nucleotides) under Bryophyta environmental sample. RNAcentral's name for it is "partial 16S ribosomal RNA". It matches the Rfam family "Bacterial small subunit ribosomal RNA", at positions 356 to 694 of the family's 1533-position model. The record is from RNAcentral. Lineage: Eukaryota; Viridiplantae; Streptophyta.
GGGGAAUUUUCCGCAAUGGGCGAAAGCCUGGCGGAGCAAUGCCGCGUGGAGGUAGAANGCCCACGGGNCGUAAACUCCUUUUCUCANANAAGAAGCAAUGACGGUAUCUGAGGAAUAAGCAUCGGCUAACUCUGUGCCANCNNCCGCGGUAAGACAGAGGAUGCAAGCGUUAUCCGGAAUGAUUGAGCGUANANCGUCUGUAGGUGGCUUUUUAANUCUGCCGUCAAAUCCCAGGGCUUAACCCUGGACAGGCGGUGGAAACUACCAANCUGGAGUACGGUAGGGGCANAGGGAAUUUCCGGUGUANCGNUGAAAUGCNUANA